UGUAGGAAAGACAGGCUGUGGUGUCACUGACAGGGAGAGGGGAGGACAAUUGCGCGACCUCUCCAGAAUGUGUACAGCACAUCUCAGUCAUCUCAGUCAAAGCACUGACUAUCGUCUGAUGGGACACAAGGACUUCUCAAAAAAUGAUCCUAAAAAUGCUGUCAUGCGUGAUUACCUUGACUGUGGUGUUUCACACUUGUCUGAGUGAGCUGGACUUACUGCAUCCAUCUCAGCCCUGCACUGAAGCGAAGAACCGGAUGGCGUAUGACACUUUCCUUAAACAACAUCUACAUAAGGGCAUACCAAAAGAUCCACACAAACUAAGAGAAUGGCAGAAGUUCAUUGACAGCAUCAAAACCUGGGACAGGCCGAUUCAGUCAUUCUUUCGAUUUGAACAAGCAAGACAGGUGAUGGCUGUGUGUUCGUCAGGAGGAAAGGUGUAUGGAGGGAACCUCUGCAUCAGCAAGGAGCCUCUCAUGGUCUUCACUGUUGAGAUCAAUGAUAGGAAAGUCAAGAGAGUUGAGCCUCAUGAGCAACAUGUUAUUCUUGGCUGUGAUAAAAUUGAAAAUAAAUGUCUGCCUAUUCAUUUUGAGGCUAAUUUAAAUGAUGCUGUACCAGACAAUAAAAAACCAGACUGCAGUAAAGCAAUGCCAAAUACAAGCGUUAUUCCUUUUGAGGACCUGUUUUAUGUUUAGACACAUGACCUGCAAAAUUCAGACAUCUGGAUAUUACUUUGUAGCUUUGCUUCUUUUAUUUCUAUCUAACCAAUGUUGAAACUGCAGUAAUGUGAGGAUGUCUGCUGAUGUCCAUAAACAAUGCAUUCUGUAUGUAUACAAACACAUAUAUUGUUUUCUUAUGCUUUUUCCUCAUUAAUUCAAUCAUUUAUUGAAUAAAAAU
Long non-coding RNA from Labeo rohita (rohu), 897 nucleotides. RefSeq lists it as uncharacterized. NCBI's taxonomy places the organism in Eukaryota, Metazoa, Chordata, Actinopteri, Cypriniformes, Cyprinidae. The transcript has 3 exons. The record is from RefSeq and is a predicted model, not a curated record.